UACGUAGGGGGCAAGCGUUAUCCGGAUUUACUGGGUGUAAAGGGAGCGCAGACGGAAAGCCAAGUCUGAUGUGAAAUGUAGGGGCUCAACCCCUAACCUGCAUUGGAAACUGGUUAUCUGGAGUGCAGGAGAGGUAAGCGGAAUUCCUAGUGUAGCGGUGAAAUGCGUAGAUAUUAGGAGGAACACCGGUGGCGAAGGCGGCUUACUGGACUGUAACUGACGUUGAGGCUCGAAAGCGUGGGGAGCAAAC
Molecule: ribosomal RNA, 250 nt
Filed under: uncultured prokaryote
Description: partial 16S ribosomal RNA
Rfam family: Bacterial small subunit ribosomal RNA
Source: RNAcentral